AUUGAACGCUGGCGGCAUGCUUUACACAUGCAAGUCGAACGGUAACAGGGUGCUUGCACCGCUGACGAGUGGCGAACGGGUGAGUAAUGCGUCGGAACGUGCCGAGUAGUGGGGGAUAACGCAGCGAAAGUUGUGCUAAUACCGCAUACGUACUGAGGUAGAAAGUGGGGGACCUUCGGGCCUCACGCUAUUCGAGCGGCCGACGUCGGAUUAGCUAGUAGGUGAGGUAAAGGCUCACCUAGGCGACGAUCAGUAGCGGGUCUGUGAGGAUGAUCCGCGACACUGGGACUGAGACACGGCCCAGACUCCUACGGGAGGCAGCAGUGGGGAAUUUUGGACAAUGGGCGAAAGCCUGAUCCAGCCAUGCCGCGUGUCUGAAGAAGGCCUUCGGGUUGUAAAGGACUUUUGUCAGGGAGGAAAUCCCUAGUGCUAAUAACACUGGGGGAUGACAGUACCUGAAGAAUAAGCACCGGCUAACUACGUGCCAGCAGCCGCCGUAA
RNAcentral lists this ribosomal RNA (500 nucleotides) under uncultured bacterium. RNAcentral's name for it is "partial 16S ribosomal RNA". It matches the Rfam family "Bacterial small subunit ribosomal RNA", at positions 30 to 523 of the family's 1533-position model. The record is from RNAcentral.